This 546-nucleotide ribosomal RNA is filed under the name Microbacterium sp. RNAcentral's name for it is "bacterial SSU rRNA". It matches the Rfam family "Bacterial small subunit ribosomal RNA", at positions 239 to 795 of the family's 1533-position model. The record is from RNAcentral. Lineage: Bacteria; Bacillati; Actinomycetota; Actinomycetes; Micrococcales; Microbacteriaceae.
UAUCUAGCUUGUUGGUGAGGUAAUGGCUCACCAAGGCGUCGACGGGUAGCCGGCCUGAGAGGGUGACCGGCCACACUGGGACUGAGACACGGCCCAGACUCCUACGGGAGGCAGCAGUGGGGAAUAUUGCACAAUGGGCGGAAGCCUGAUGCAGCAACGCCGCGUGAGGGAUGACGGCCUUCGGGUUGUAAACCUCUUUUAGCAGGGAAGAAGCGAGAGUGACGGUACCUGCAGAAAAAGCACCGGCUAACUACGAGCAAGCAGCCGCGGUAAUACGUAGGGUGCAAGCGUUAUCCGGAAUUAUUGGGCGUAAAGAGCUCGUAGGCGGUUUGUCGCGUCUGCUGUGAAAUCCCGAGGCUCAACCUCGGGCCUGCAGUGGGUACGGGCAGACUAGAGUGCGGAGGGGGAGAUUGGAAUUCCUGGUGUAGCGGUGGAAUGCGCAGAUAUCAGGAGGAACACCGAUGGCGAAGGCAGAUCUCUGGGCCGUAACUGACGCUGAGGAGCGAAAGGGUGGGGAGCAAACAGGCUUAGAUACCCUGGGUAGUC